Erigeron canadensis is the source of this 700-nucleotide long non-coding RNA. RefSeq lists it as uncharacterized. NCBI's taxonomy places the organism in Eukaryota, Viridiplantae, Streptophyta, Magnoliopsida, Asterales, Asteraceae. The record is from RefSeq and is a predicted model, not a curated record. The transcript has 2 exons.
GAUAUAAGACAUGUUUAUAUUUUUUUGAUUAUUGUUUACAAUUCAAAUUCAUUUUAGAGUGGCACCAACAGUAGAUGGUAGAAAUUAUUUUUGAUUUUUUGGAAAGUAAUCAAAUUUUGCAACACUAAAACAGUAAAUGGUAGAAACCUUUCAUCCUGGAACUGCUGUAUAAUAUUCCAGAUAUUGUUUGUUCAAGCUUUUUUUUCAAGAAUUACGCAGGGUUUUGUCUAUAUCUUGGUAAAGUUGUAAUUUAAACUGAUGGUGGAACUGCUUCUGAAUGGACUUAAAGCCAAUGCGAAAGAUUGAAGAAGGGAUUGCUACGGUGGUGAGGAAGGAAAUGAAGCAGCAGGCGAUGGUGACAUUAAUGGGGAUUGCUUAAAGGUAACCGCUGGAAUUAGGUUGAGAAGUGGCCGGAAUUAGCUUCACCGGAAUAGUUUUGGGGUAGAAUAUUGUCCUCGUCUUCAUCUUUUUCUUCCAACCCUCAGAUUUGAAGACAACCCAAUUAAUAGUUUUAUGGUCAGCUCUCCAUCGCCGAUGCUCUUGCCGCAUAUUUUCGGCAUGCGUGGUUUUAGUGUCAGCCACCCCUAUAUCUAUACAUCCACCAUCACCACCAUAACAAGAAAUAAGGACCGUUGUUGUAGUGCAUCUUUGUUGGUUGACUUCGUUUUGUCAUGGAUUGGAGUUUUUAUGGUUUUGUGAA